Long non-coding RNA from Amblyraja radiata (thorny skate), 1908 nucleotides. RefSeq lists it as uncharacterized. Lineage: Eukaryota; Metazoa; Chordata; Chondrichthyes; Rajiformes; Rajidae. The transcript has 2 exons. The record is from RefSeq and is a predicted model, not a curated record.
UAACUUUACUUGGCUUUAUCUUGCACUAAACGUUACUACCUUCAUCCUGUAUGUGUACACUGCAGACAACUUGAUUGUCAUCAUGUAUAGUCUUUUCGCUGACAGUAUGCAACAAAUAAGCUAUAUAAUAAACUAAAACCAAAAGUACAUUGUCAUAUUCUGCACUCUCUCCAAAUCUACCACAGUCUGUUAUUAGCAUCUGGGGCCACUACUGUGCCUGCUGUUCUUCAGGACUGCUGUUCGACCACUUCAGUUGGCUCCAGGAGGGGUUUCUUUUUAUUUCUUACGGCUGGACAAACUUCCUGUUUGUUCAGUUAUAAUUUCCUUUUCCAAGCAUUUUUUAAUCUUCAACAGGCAUGCAUGUACAUGCACCUUAUCUAAUCUCAAACUAUGAAAUUGCCUUCCACAUCUAAGACAUUGUCACGUAGUGCUUCACCUUUAAAUAGGCUUCCAUUGUGUCUCUAAAAUCAAGCUAGUUGGUUGCCAUGAAUGAGCCUCCCCCCACAAAACCCAUUGCUAUUGAUUGGUCCAAUUUGUUGGAGGGCUUCAUGUUCAUCUCAUCCUUUUGUGGGAUGUGAACACUUGCAUUGUAAACAUUCCAUUUGCCCUCCUUGUUUCUUCUUUAAUAUUCUUUGUGAUAUUCUGAUUUGAUUACUUCAGUUUUCUCAAUCCAAAUUGUUGUGCUCAUCUAUGCUUUACUGCCUUUAUCUUAACCGAUAGCUGUUUCAGUUAAUUUAUUGUCACGUGUACCAAGGUACAGCAAAAAGCUUUUGUUGUGUGCUAACCAGUCAGCGGAAAGACCAUACAUGAUUACAAUUAAGCCAUUUGCCGUGUAUAGAUACAAUGCCGACCCAUCAUUCUUGUCCCUGCAUUGCACUCAAACCUUCAAUGCUUCAAAUAUUACUUCUAAAGUUUCUAUUUUACAUCAGCAUAACCCUACUUCCUAUCUAAUUUGCCUGAUGUUAUAACCCAACAUUGUGUCUUGGGCAUGUAUUUCCAUUUUUCACCCCAACUAUGGAAACUUUGCCAUCAUUUGCUCGGGGUUCUUUUGAAAUUCUAUCUUUUUCCAAGAUGCUCUUUCAUUGUCUUUUCACCAAACUUUCUGUUAUUGGCACUGUCCUUUUCUGGUGUAAUUUUCAGUGAACAUAAGGUUCUUAGAAUAUCGUUCCUUAUUUCUAAAUUAGGGGUGAAGAAUAAAAACAAUCGCUAUGUUAAUAGCUGCAUACAGAGUGCAUUUUCUAAAUUUAUAUUUGAAAACACAUUAAGGCACAUCAAUUGUUUGAUGGAACAGUGUUAUUCCAUUGCUUUUUGCAAUACAAUUAAAAAUCAUGCAUGGAAACGUAUUUCAUUGUAUAAAAAGUAUUGAUCGGUCCUUUGGAAGUUCACUUCUUUUUUUAAAAGGUUGGGAAUUUUGUUGGGAUAAAUGGCUUACGGUAUUAAAGUACAAGUUAUGCAAUCUUGGUUGCUCUGUAUGGGUAGACAAGAUGUAAAGUCAAUUGCAUUAGUGUUUUUAGUUGGGGAAAGAAUAGGCUGCACAUGAUCAAUCUGUACAUCAGCCAACUCUAAACAAUUAUUUCAGAAUUCUUUCAGAGGCUGUAAUCACCCUCUGGAAUUUGUAAGUUAUUUAAUGUAUUUCAUGCCUACUUCUUUUGGAUCAAUGAACAAAAAAUAAUAUUGUAAUUUAUGCCUGCCAUUGGCAAAAUGUAUUCAUAUCCAGCUUCUAUAACAUACUCAAGGAUGAAAUGUUUUAAAGGAAUGUUGACUUUAAGACUGAUUGGUACAUAUUUCACACAAACAAAUAUCUGAAAUAAAACAUUUGUUGAAAAUAGUCAGCAGAUAAGGCAGCAUCCAUGGGGAGAGAGUGAAAGUAGGUUAACACUUAUAAUUGAAGACUAUCAUAAGGAAUAG